Molecule: ribosomal RNA, 459 nt
Filed under: uncultured bacterium
Lineage: Bacteria
Description: partial 16S ribosomal RNA
Rfam family: Bacterial small subunit ribosomal RNA
Source: RNAcentral
CCUACGGGAUGCUGCAGUGAGGAAUAUUGGUCAAUGGCCGGAAGGCUGAACCAGCCAAGCCGCGUGAAGGACGAAGGUGCCAAGCAUUGUAAACUUCUUUUGUCAAGGGACAAAAUCAGGCACGAGAGCCUGACCGAGGGUACUUGAAGAAAAAGCAUCGGCUAACUCCGUGCCAGCAGCCGCGGUAAUACGGAGGAUGCGAGCGUUAUCCGGAUUUAUGGGGUUUAAAGGGUGCGUAGGCGGACUGUUAAGUCAGCGGUAAAAGCCCGGGGCUCAACCCCGCGGAGCCGUUGAAACUGGCUGUCUUGAGAUGUCGAGAGGUAUGCGGAAUGCGCAGUGUAGCGGUGAAAUGCUUAGAUAGUGCGCAGAACUCCGAUUGCGAAGGCAGCAUACCGGCGGCGAUCUGACGCUGAGGCACGAAAGCGUGGGUAUCGAACAGGAUUAGAUACCCUUGUAGUC